AUGAUCGACCAACAGAGUAAGUUUCGGCUGUGGUGUAAAGAUAUCUAUUUUCUAACUUUUUUCGCCUCGGCAAAAAAAUCUCCCUCCCAAGCCUAUUUUUUAUUCCCGGUUCUCCUGCUACGGUUGUCCAAGUCAACAAGCACUCGCGAGUUCUUCAGGUAACUCAAAGAGUUUUCAAAAAUCGGGGAACCGUGGUUUUGCUGGUUUUCUCAAAAUCGGGUCUGGGUCACCGAUACCUUUUCAGUUCAUUUCGGAGACAUAUUUUAUCUAUUUUGCCCGUGUGUCAUUCUCUACUGAGCUGUUUGGCAUUCCCCAUACUUCUUUAAAUAGCCAUAUGGCG
This 340-nucleotide small RNA is filed under the name Histoplasma capsulatum. Its description in RNAcentral is "hypothetical RNA". Lineage: Eukaryota; Fungi; Ascomycota; Eurotiomycetes; Onygenales; Ajellomycetaceae. The record is from RNAcentral. RNAcentral also lists the same sequence under 1 other name.